GACGGAGGAUGCAAGCGUUAUCCGGAAUGAUUGGGCGUAAAGCGUCCGCAGGUGGCCGUUCAAGUCUGCUGUCAAAGACCGGGGCUUAACUCCGGAAAGGCAGUGGAAACUGAACAGCUAGAGUAUGGUAGGGGCAGAGGGAAUUCCUGGUGUAGCGGUGAAAUGCGUAGAGAUCAGGAAGAACAUCGGUGGCGAAGGCGCUCUGCUGGACCAUAACUGACACUCAGGGACGAAAGCUAGGGGAGCGAAUGGG
RNAcentral lists this ribosomal RNA (253 nucleotides) under uncultured bacterium. RNAcentral describes it as "partial 16S ribosomal RNA". It matches the Rfam family "Bacterial small subunit ribosomal RNA", at positions 524 to 776 of the family's 1533-position model. The record is from RNAcentral.